GCAUAAUGGAUAGCGCGGACGCCUCCUAAGCGUCAGGCCGAGGGUUCAAAUCCCUC
This 56-nucleotide transfer RNA is filed under the name Candidatus Nitrosocosmicus oleophilus. RNAcentral's name for it is "Candidatus Nitrocosmicus oleophilus tRNA". It matches the Rfam family "tRNA", at positions 10 to 63 of the family's 71-position model. From Rfam's summary of the family: Transfer RNA (tRNA) molecules are approximately 80 nucleotides in length. Their secondary structure includes four short double-helical elements and three loops (D, anti-codon, and T loops). Lineage: Archaea; Thermoproteati; Nitrososphaerota; Nitrososphaeria; Nitrososphaerales; Nitrososphaeraceae. The record is from Rfam by way of RNAcentral.